Molecule: ribosomal RNA, 300 nt
Filed under: Triticum aestivum (bread wheat)
Lineage: Eukaryota; Viridiplantae; Streptophyta; Magnoliopsida; Poales; Poaceae
Description: partial small subunit ribosomal RNA
Source: RNAcentral
AUGGAUAAGCUGGUGACUCAUGCGCGGGCACUAUGGUGGUCCAGGUGCAAAGUUCAACCUCUGUAUAUGGGUACACAUCCUCCUUGCCGAGCCCCAAGUUCAACCUCUGACUGGGUACACAUCCUCCUUGCUGAGCUCAAUCUCAAGAAGUACCUUUGGUUGCUCUACAACACCAACAUCAAUGCGUUGGUUUGGCCGUGUUCUUCUGUGUAUUCUUUUUUAUGGACAAUUUUUGUUUGUGGUGAGAUGGGGAGGUGCAAAGUGAGGAUGACUUUGACAUGUAAAUCUCACGGAAUAUAA